RNAcentral lists this long non-coding RNA (2634 nucleotides) under Homo sapiens (human). Its description in RNAcentral is "HSALNT0357563". Lineage: Eukaryota; Metazoa; Chordata; Mammalia; Primates; Hominidae. The record is from RNAcentral.
GAGCAUUUGCAGAGGCUUGGGAGGGAGUGGACGUGUCCCUGAUGCUAAGGGCAGAGGAGGAGCGGGGCCCUCGGGCAGCUGGAAGGGCAUCCUGAAAAGACGCCUGCCUGCCGCCGUUCUCCUGGCAGCAGGGCGCGCUGGGAAGCACCAGGCAGGAAGUGAAGAAUUUCCGGUUGUCAGCGGAGGGAUGGGGCGUCACCAAGUCUGUGGCAAGCACACCAAGAACCAGCUAAGUCCAAGGCUCACCUGCAUGGCAAAUGGUGAAGCCCAUAGGAUAAGAAGAAACCAAGUCCUAAAAGUAGGCCAGCACCAGGGUUCAGGCCUCUGACUUCAAGCCAAGGGCUCAUCAUCUUGAAUUGCGCACGAAUUUUUACACAGCGCCAAAGGAAACUGCCUGUACUUACUGUUGUAGGUGCUUUGCUGGAUUCAGGAUGCAGACAAGGUCCACGCAUUGUGGUUGGAAUGUGGCAGAAUUGGCCGGAAGCAGAAUUGCCUGUUUCCAGUGAGGCCCCCUUGCCCUCUUGGAAGCAAUUGCUGUGUAGGAAGUCUGAACACCUCACAGGAGAUGGAGGCCAGUUCCUGCCUGCUGUAGCCACCCAGCUGAAGGGGGUCCAGACACGAGUGGAGGCAUUGUGACCUCCAGCCUCAGCAGACACCUCCACACUGCGCAGGGCAGAGCAACCACGCCACCGAGUGAGCCCCAUUUGCAGACUUUGAGCAAAUAAUGAUUGUGCACGUUGGAUCAUUUAUUGAGUUUCUCUCGUACACCAAGCACUGGUUGGAUCCCAUGCUUGUUGGUGACAGAACUGCUGUGAUGCCAGUCCUGCGUCCCCUUCAGCCUGUGAAGGAGGAGCACCAUGAACCAGCCAACUAACACGUGUCUAAUCACAUAAAGGGAACUGAACACCAGAGAGCCACAGUCACUUUCCGAAGGUCACACAGCAAGUGCAAAUGAGGCCUCAUCCUCAGGGCUGGGUUCCAGGCCUGCUGGGCAGGUCGGUUACUGCUGCACAAAAUUUCUGUUAUCCUAAAAUUGUUUCAGACAAGCACCAAAGGACGUCCCAUAGUUCUGCUUGACUAAGGUUUAAUGAAGUUAAUGUUCAUACUUUCCACUCUAUUUUUCCACUCUUUAAGGAUCCAAAUUUUCUUGGUGUAGCUGCGUAUAAAAGUUUAACUAUUACAGAGAUAACCACAAAAUUUGAUGAGGCUUCAUUGAGUGGAAAACACUGUAGUCCAAAUAAAUGCAGAAAUCAUUGGUUUGGGAACCAAGGGAUAAAAUGCUCCCAGCUGUGGCAGUUCCUCUUCUACCUUCUUUGAGUGAAUUUGCAACACAGAAAAAGGCUGAUGAAGCUGAGACAUUGAUUAUCAAAGUGCCUUCACUUCCCAGAACCAUCUGACGCAAGAUAGAAUCCAGCUAUGCUUAAUCACCACUUACACAGCACUUUCUGAAAUGCUUUCUACAUCUUAGGGUAGGUUUUAUUUUCUCUUAAUGGAGGGGUUUUCCCAGGCUUGUAGGGGACAUAGUCUUCUCUGUCCCUUCCUUAUCUUGGCUUCUUCUUUGUUUUUAUUGUGGUAAAAUACACAAAGCAUGAUGUUGACUGGGUUAACCAUUUUUAAGCAUACAAUUCAGUGGUAUUAAAUUUACUCAUAAUAUUGUGCCCCCAUCACCACCAUCUAUCUCCACAACUCUUUUUAUCUUAUAAAAUGGAAACUCUGUACUCAUUAAACAACAAGUCUCCAUUCUCUUCUCCACUCACCUCUGGCAACCACUGUUCUUUCUGUCUCUAUGAUUUUAUGAAGUACUCUGUGUACCUCAUGUCAGUGGAAUCAUACAGUAUUUGUCCUUCUGUAACUGGCUUAUUUCACUUGAGCACAGUGUUCUCAGAGUUCAUCCUUCGUAUACCACGUGUCAGCAUUUUCUUCCUUUUUAAAGCUGAAUAAUAUUCCAUUGCAUGUAUAGACCACAUUUUGCUUAUCCAUUUAUGUAUUGAUGGACACUUGAGUUGCUUCCACUUCUUGGCUGUUGUGAAUAAUGAUAUUAUAAACAGGGAUAUGCAAAAGCCUCUUCAAGUCCUUGCUUUUAAUUCUUUUGGGUAUGUACACAGUAGUGGAGUUCAGGAUCAUAUGGUAAUUCUGUGUUUAAUUUUUUGAGGGUCUGCCAUACUGUUUUCCAGUGGCUGCACCAUUUUACAUUCCUUGUGCAAACAAUGCACAAGGGUUCCAAUUUCUCUAUAUUCUUGCCAACAUCUGUUAGUUUCUGUUUUCUUCCUGGUAGCCAUCAUUAUGGGUGUGGAGUGGUCUCUUGGCUCCUUCUUGACAGGGGUUCUCUUUGGAAUCCGUACCUGCCAGCCAGGAUCCCUGUCUACUGGCUGCUCCUUGGUCCUGUGGAGCUUUGCUCCUGCACUCUGCCAAGCUCUGAGGCUGGCCUCUGUUUAGGCUGCUGAUAGACACCUGUCUUCAUGCUAAGGCCUAGCUGACUGGCUGAGCCAACCUACUCCUCCAGGGCCUGCCCAACCCUGAUGGGUGCCUGACGCAGGCCUGGAACAUCUUGCUGCCUUCUCGUACUCACAGCUUAGGAAGCAAAAAGCAAGCCAGGUGUUCAUACUUCUCUGCUGGGGACAUAACAAAUGGCAU